GACAGCAACUGUUCAAACAGGCUGGCAAGCAAGCGUGUUUUCCAAAAGUCGAGCAACAAAAGCGCAAACAUGGCACAAAGUGAAAAAUCUGAAGCUAAGCAUCCAUAGUAGAAAACAAAACCAAUUUUAAGCUUUACUAACACAAUAAAAUGAUCUCAACCAAAAACAACGUCCACACAAACAAAAACAAAAUUCCAUCUUUCAAAUAAACCAACUCUAGUUUCAAAUUUUAGCUUCCAAUCUAAUAAUAUAAUGUUCGAAAAGCAGCAAACACGAAGAUAAUGAGAAGAUACAUGCCUUUUCAGAUUCCAGUGAAGACAGAGACGGUGGUGUGCGGUGGAAGUUGGGACGUUACAAAGCAAAGGCUAGUGCAUCAACCAUGACACUGCAUCAGAAACAGAAAGGCAGCAACAACAACAAAACAGAGCCAAAGCAGGCUGGCUUAAUUUGGUUUGGUUUAAAAUUCAUUGUAAUUUAAUUUGAUUUUAGAAUUGUAAUUAGAUUUGACAUUGUAAAUUUAUGAGACAUAAUGAAAUUAUUUAUUGUAAUUA
Molecule: long non-coding RNA, 551 nt
Organism: Cicer arietinum (chickpea)
Lineage: Eukaryota; Viridiplantae; Streptophyta; Magnoliopsida; Fabales; Fabaceae
Source: RefSeq, a predicted model, not a curated record